GACAGCAGUCGCCGCGGUAAUACGGAGGGUGCAAGCGUUAAUCGGAAUUACUGGGCGUAAAGCGCACGCAGGCGGUCUGUCAAGUCAGAUGUGAAAUCCCCGGGCUUAACCUGGGAACUGCAUUUGAAACUGGCAGGCUAGAGUCUUGUAGAGGGGGGUAGAAUUCCAGGUGUAGCGGUGAAAUGCGUAGAGAUCUGGAGGAAUACCGGUGGCGAAGGCGGCCCCCUGGACAAAGACUGACGCUCAGGUGCGAAAGCGUGGGGAGCAAACAGGAUUAGAUACCCGAGUAGUCCCUGUCUCUUAUAC
This 306-nucleotide ribosomal RNA is filed under the name uncultured bacterium. RNAcentral's name for it is "partial 16S ribosomal RNA". It matches the Rfam family "Bacterial small subunit ribosomal RNA", at positions 507 to 807 of the family's 1533-position model. The record is from RNAcentral.